Molecule: long non-coding RNA, 1437 nt
Organism: Equus quagga
Lineage: Eukaryota; Metazoa; Chordata; Mammalia; Perissodactyla; Equidae
Exons: 3
Source: RefSeq, a predicted model, not a curated record
GCCCGGUGGCUCCUAGGGCGUCACUCGGCCUCUGUCCCCCUGACGAUCCCCCCUGCAACUCCUCCACCACGGACCAGAGACCCCCCUCUCUGGGCGGCAGACACGGGUGGCUUGCGCCGGCUGGUUUGAAGUAGAGCAGUCCUGCUGGAGUGGAGGAAAAUGCAAGGGCUAUCACCCACCCAAGCUGGAGAUUCACUAGGACUUCCAAGAGGGAGCCCAGCUGAGCAAGCGGCACCUGGAUGCCAUCUGUGUCUGAGAGGCUGUGUUUCCUCCGUCUCUAACCUGGGAGGACUCUCAAAACACAGCCCACUUGGACAUCCAAGGGCCCUGGAGAUGUCUCCACUGAAGGUCGAAGAUUCAGACUUCACUGCCCAGAUAACACCAGCUGGAGUUGGCUUUGGGGCUGUUACUUCUUUCCCAUGAUCAGUCAUGCAUUUUUGUGGUAUUGAUCCUUGGCCCAGACCCUGACUGGCUAAAGCCAAUAAUUCUAUCCCAUCGCAUCUCUCUGGCCGCCAUUAUUUGAUCCAUGAUGGCAGAAACCCAGUCAGAACCACUGAAACCUGUGGAGAAGUCUUCUAGGGCUUCUGGGAAAAAGAAAGUUCUCUCCCCUCCUUGAAAGCCACUCCUUCUGUGAUCCGUAUGGUGUGAAGACAUAAAGACCUGAACGGCUUCUUUACUACUAGGUCAGAAGACCACGGAACUGCCAAUGGGAAGCCAUUUGAGGACUGAAGAAGCAACUGAUGCUUUGGAAUGUAAAGAGGAAAUAUGGAAAGGAACAAAACUGGUCCUCGAUGAUUCUAGAUCAAACUGUACCUGAAGCUGGUCCUGCCUCUGGCCUUUUCACUGAUGCAAGUUUGUACAUCCCGUUAUUCUUCAAGCCAGUUUGAGUUGGAUUGCCUGUCAUUUUCAAUGGAAAGAUUUUUAACUCACCAUUUGCUUUUGUCAAAUUGAUGAUGACAUAUUAAUACCUUUUCAAUGAGUGAUGCUGGGAAAAUGGGGCCAUGCUGUGGGUUUCUGCUUCACUGUUUUCUUUAGUAUGUUGUUUUCAAUUGGAAUGAAUACCUUCUUAAAUCAUUUUCUUAGUGGUCUCCUUGUCCACACUUUACAACACAGAUCAAGUAUCACUUUCCCUAUGAAUUCAUUACUGAGCAAGAAUGAUAAACACUGGAAUUUUAGAUCUGUUGAGACUGUCCCAAGUAAAAGUUGAGUACUUGUUUUAAUUUAGAUAGACAUGAUUUUGAAACCUGACUCUCUAAUUUACUAGCUGUGUGACUUUCGACAAUUUGCCUAAACUCUCUAAGAUACUUCUCCCAACCUGUAAAAAUCCUGUUAAUAAUAGCAUCUUAUCCCAGACAACUUUUGUGAAGAUAAAAUGAAAUAGUUCAUGUACAACAAUUACCAAGGUGCUUGACACAGAAUAAAUGCUCAAUAAAUGUU